Molecule: long non-coding RNA, 444 nt
Organism: Oncorhynchus tshawytscha (Chinook salmon)
Lineage: Eukaryota; Metazoa; Chordata; Actinopteri; Salmoniformes; Salmonidae
Source: Ensembl
AAACAGGUCAAGGUGACCAGGGUCAAUGGUUUGGUUAUAAAUAGGGCAAGGUGACCGGGGACAAUAGUUUGGUUAUUAACGGGGCAAGGUGACAAGGAGACAAUAGUUGGUUAUAAACAGGGCAAGGUGACCGGGGACAAUAGUUUGGUUAUAAACAGGGCAAGGUGACCGGGGACAAUAGUUGGUUAUAAACAGGUCAAGGUGACCGGGGACAAUAGUUUGGUUAUAAACAGGGCAACGUGAAUGGGGGACAAUAGUUUGGUUAUAAACAGGGCAAGGUGAACGGGGGACAGUAGUUUGGUUAUAAACAGGGCAAGGUGAACGGGGGACAGUAGUUUGGUUAUAAACAGGGCAAGGUGAACGGGGGACAGUAGUUUGGUUAUAAACAGGGCAAGGUGAACGGGGGACAGUAGUUUGGUUAUAAAGAGGUCAAGGUGACCAGGG